AGAACGAACGCUGGCGGCAUGCCUAAUACAUGCAAGUCGAACGAACUCUUCGGAGUUAGUGGCGCACGGGUGCGUAACGCGUGGGAAUCUGCCCCUUGGUUCGGAAUAACAGUUGGAAACGACUGCUAAUACCGGAUGAUGACGAAAGUCCAAAGAUUUAUCGCCAAGGGAUGAGCCCGCGUAGGAUUAGCUAGUUGGUGAGGUAAAGGCUCACCAAGGCAACGAUCCUUAGCUGGUCUGAGAGGACGACCAGCCACACUGGGACUGAGACACGGCCCAGACUCCUACGGGAGGCAGCAGUGGGGAAUUUUGGACAAUGGGCGCAAGCCUGAUCCAGCAAUGCCGCGUGCAGGAAGAAGGCCUUGGUUGUAAACUGCUUUUGUACGGAACGAAACGGUCCUGGUUAAUACCUGGGCGUAAUGACGGUACCGUAAGAAUAAGCAACCGGCUAACUACGUGCCAGCAGCCGC
Molecule: ribosomal RNA, 470 nt
Filed under: uncultured soil bacterium
Lineage: Bacteria
Description: bacterial SSU rRNA
Rfam family: Bacterial small subunit ribosomal RNA
Source: RNAcentral